GGCGGAGUAGCUCAGCUGGUUAGAGCAUGCGGUUCAUACCCGCAGGGUCGGGGGUUCGAGUCCCUCCUCCGCUACCA
RNAcentral lists this transfer RNA (77 nucleotides) under Bacillota bacterium. Its description in RNAcentral is "tRNA-Met". It matches the Rfam family "tRNA". From Rfam's summary of the family: Transfer RNA (tRNA) molecules are approximately 80 nucleotides in length. Lineage: Bacteria; Bacillati; Bacillota. The record is from RNAcentral.